RNAcentral lists this ribosomal RNA (492 nucleotides) under uncultured bacterium. RNAcentral describes it as "partial 16S ribosomal RNA". It matches the Rfam family "Bacterial small subunit ribosomal RNA", at positions 29 to 507 of the family's 1533-position model. The record is from RNAcentral.
AGUGAACGCUGGCGGUAGGCCUAACACAUGCAAGUCGAACGGCAGCACAGUAAGAGCUUGCUCUUACGGGUGGCGAGUGGCGGACGGGUGAGGAAUACAUCGGAACCUACUUUUUCGUGGGGGAUAACGUAGGGAAACUUACGCUAAUACCGCAUACGACCUACGGGUGAAAGCAGGGGAUCUUCGGACCUUGCGCGAUUGAAUGAGCCGAUGUCGGAUUAGCUAGUUGGCGGGGUAAAGGCCCACCAAGGCGACGAUCCGUAGCUGGUCUGAGAGGAUGAUCAGCCACACUGGAACUGAGACACGGUCCAGACGCCUACGGGAGGCAGCAGUGGGGAAUAUGGGACAAUGGGCGCAAGCCUGAUCCAGCCAUACCGCGUGGGUGAAGAAGGCCUUCGGGUUGUAAAGCCCUUUUGUUGGGAAAGAAAAGCAGCAGGUUAAUACCCCGCUGUUCUGACGGUACCCAAAGAAUAAGCACCGGCUAACUUCGUG